GCCCUAGUAGUCGGUGGCUGGUCGGUGACUGGGACCAGACCGUCGCCUCCUCCCUUUUACAGCUUUAAGUCUGUGACCCGAGGCCUCUCUGUAUAUUCCCGUGGGGUUGGGCCUAGUUGUCCUGGGAGAAACUAGAUGGAUGAGGAGUAUUUCCGAGACAGGUCCCAGGGCCAGCGCAGCCUUUUCUGUUGCAGAACCGCGACUGUUGUUUUGGGAUCCAGGCCGGAGGGUUUGUUGCUUGUGUUCAUUCCAGUUAACCAUUAGUACUCGAGAAGGUGGUACAGAACGCAUCUAUCCCCUUAGAAGAAAAGAAAUUAAAAGCCAAACUAAACUGGGAUAUAUAUUAAUAUAGGAAACUACCACUGAGACAUAGGAAAGUGUAUUAAAAUAUAACUAGUGAGGUGCUAUGUAUAAUUCAGAGGAAGGGGAAAUUAUGCAUGGGCCAGACUACUAACAAAAGGCUCCAAAGCCUGGGAUACGCUGAGGGCCUUUCCAUAACAGAAAAUGAAAAGGAACCUAAAUUUGAGACUAGAUUUGAGGAAAGGCACAGUUGCGCUGGAGUAGAAAGCGUCUGUCUACCGCAGUGGAAAGUAAGUUUUCGUAAAUGCAGACUAGCUCCAGGGUGAGGACAGAAUCUAGCUUUUAAAUCAGUAUAAUCUCUCUUCUUUUACAUUUGAAAAUCUCUGCAGCGAUAUGUUAUUGUAUCCCCAGCACCAUACAAAGGACAUACAAGGGCCAAAUACUGUGGGAAUAUUUAUUAAUGAUAUUAAUGAUGAUGCUGUCCGGGCCAAAGGAAAACUUCCGCUUCACCUUCUGAAGUUUCGCUGAAAGUCACUGACAGGAGGCAGUUAAUAGGAGAAAAGACAUAGACAUUGAUUUGACCAUCGUUUUAUGUGACACGGGAGCCUUCAGAAUGAAGACCCAAAGAUAACAAGGGAAAUCGUGUAUUUGUAUGCUUAGGUUCAACAAAGCAUGGACAGCCGUAUAAAAAAAUGACUGGACAAGGCCGGGCGCGGUGGCUCACGCCUGUAAUCUCAGCACUUUGGGAGGCUGAGGCGGGCGGAUCACAAGGUCAGGAGAUCGAGACCAUCCUGGCUAACACAGUGAAACCCCGUCUCUACUAAAAAUACUAAAAAUUAGCCAGGCGUGGUGGCGGGCGCCUGUAGUCCCAGCUACUCAGGAGGCUGAGGCAGGAGAAUGGCGUGAACCCGGGAGGCGGAGCUUGCAGUGAGCCGAGAUUGCGUCACCGCACUCCAGCCUGGGCGACAGAGCGAGACUCCGUCUCAAAAAAAAUGACUGGACAAAAAACACUCUGAUGCAAACAGGCAAGAAACCCAGCAAGGCCUAUCUGGAUUCUCCUUGGCCUGUCUGCAGCAUUCAUUCCUUCUGGGUAUGGAACAGGACCCUCUGGAAUGGGGGCUGUGGCCUACAACAGUUAAACAAGUGAACUAAAGGGCUCCCAAAAUCUCUCCUGCAGCAUUUUCCUUGAGAAGGAGGAAGGUUUGCAUCUCUGUGAGAAGAAACAUCAGAAGCAGUUGAAAGACCAGGAUGUGGGUCCUCUGGGGCUGAGGAGGCAUUCUGAAUCAACUGUGUGUUCUACACCUGUGUUUUAACUGUGACCUGUCACAUGAGGACAAGUGUGGAAUUUCCCACUUUUGUGCCAUAAAUCUCUCUCUGGGAACAGUGUGGAAGAUGGAUUGAAAUGGUGUAAAAUUGAAGAUGUGGACUCCGGUUGGGAGACUACACCCUAGAUAAGAUGAAGAGAACUUGAAGCAAGACAAUAGCAAUGGGAAUAUAAAGGAGAGGAGACAUUUGAGUGAAAUUAAGGAAGCACAAUCUGCAGACUGUUUUCUUUUUUUUAAGAGUCAGGGUCUCCCUAUUUUGCCCAGGCUGGUCUCAAAGUCCUAGGCUCAAGCGACCCACCCACCUCAGCCUUCCAAAAUGCUGGAAUUACAGGGGUGAACUGCCUCACCAUGCCUCAGUCUGCAGAAUUUGAUGACUGAAUGUAUUUGGAGAGAGUCUGUGGCUUGGAUGACUGGGCUCCCAACAGAUUGGAUGAUGCCCACACACAUUGAGGCGGCCAACCUGCUUUACUGAAUUCACCAAUUCAAAUGCUAACCUCAUCUGGAAACACCCUCGCAGACACACUCAGACACAACGUUUAAUCUGGGUGCCCCUUGGCCAGUCAUGUUGACACAUAGAAUUAACCAUCACAGGAGUUACAUCUGGUGUGAAAACCACAAAGAAAUCAGGAAGGAUGAAAACUGUGGUGGACAUUUUCUCUUUUGACCACACUACCUCUUUUUUCCCCCCUUCUUUUGGAGAGAGAGAAUUUCCACUUAACUCUUCCCCCAAUGUGUGCACCUGUGCUAAGACUCUCAGGGCAUUCUGCACUGCUCACUCCAAGCCACCAGGAGCUGUGAUUGGUUGAUUGAUUUUGAGGCGGAGUUUCACUCUUGUUGCCCAGGCUGAAGUGCAGUGGCACAACCUCUGCUCACUGCAACCGCUGCC
RNAcentral lists this long non-coding RNA (2511 nucleotides) under Homo sapiens (human). Its description in RNAcentral is "HSALNT0332860". Lineage: Eukaryota; Metazoa; Chordata; Mammalia; Primates; Hominidae. The record is from RNAcentral.